CGCGGGCGGAGGCUUCCGGGGCUGGGGGCGGUGCCACGUGCAGUGCCGGCGGCGCACGGCAGAGGGCGUAGAGGAGCUACCGCCGCCCUCCCGGAUCCCACGGCGCGGUCCGCGACGCCCGCCCUGCCGCCGCCUGGCCGAAGCCUCUCCAAGGCCAAGGCCACCCUCGGCCCCGCCCCGCCGCAACCGCCGCCCCGGAGUGUCGGUCGAAGAUCACCCUAGGCCCACGCCCUCUGCCCGCCCCGGACGCGCCACCCCUUCCUGGGCCUCCCUCCCUCCUUCCGCUCCAGAAAGCAAAACAUCGGUGUUCAUCCCCAGGAUGAAGCAGGCUGCCUUGUCUGAGCCUGGGGUCUUCGCCAGAGGUGCACCUCAUCAAAGCCCCUGAGAUGCCCCUCCAGGGCCUGGUCCCUGCAGGAGAAACCAAGCUCUAAGGCAGAGGCAAAGGAGCCACACAGCUGCACCCUGCAAGCCUUCUGGAGUCCUUGUCAGCUGUGUCCCUCAUAAGUCAUUCAAGGAGACCUUGUGGGUUCCAAGCUUGGGUCAUUUAAGUGGUUGUUGUCGCAUAAACAUGGCUUUCCAAGGACA
Molecule: long non-coding RNA, 585 nt
Filed under: Heterocephalus glaber (naked mole-rat)
Lineage: Eukaryota; Metazoa; Chordata; Mammalia; Rodentia; Bathyergidae
Description: lncRNA (ENSHGLG00000036912.1)
Source: RNAcentral